AUGCGAUGCGCCCCCCCUCCUGCGGCCGGGGCGGCACCGUGGGCCGCGCAGGGUGAGAGAUCCCCGCGCGUCGGCACUGCCUCGUGCGCCUCCGAGCUCGCCCCCCACGCUCACCACGCCGACCGCCGCAGCUUCGCGGCCAUGUGGUUGUUCUGGCGUACCAGGAACCGCUUCUCCAUCGAAGAGCUCCGUGGGAAGAAAGUAAAAUCUUAUCAUAGAUGCUUCAUACAUGUCUUCUUCUUCAAGUAUUUAACAGAUCAGCUACAAAAGAUUCAUGUUGUUUAUGAAGCUAAUAAGGAAUUUGUGGUUGAAGCAUUGCGAUCAAUUGCGGAACUUAUGAUAUAUGGCGACCAGCACGAUCCAUUAUUUUUUGAAUUUUUCAUGGAGAAGCAGAUUAUGGGUGAAUUCGCUCGUAUUUUGAGGAUUUCUAAGCUGUCCAGAGUGUCACUACAGUUGCUGCAGACAAUGAGUAUCAUGAUUCAAAAUUUAAGGAAUGAGCAUUCAAUUUAUUACAUUUUCAGCAACGAGCACAUUAACUUCUUGAUAACUUACUCGUUUGAUUUCCAAAUUGAUGAGAUGCUAUCGUACUACAUAUCCUUUUUACGGGCAAUAAGUGGAAAGUUGAAUAAGAAUACAAUUUCCUUGCUUGUGACGACAAAAAAUGAUGAGGUCAUCUCAUUUCCUCUCUAUGUUGAGGCCUUAAAGUUUGCUUUUCAUGAGGAUAGCAUGAUCCGUGUUGCUAUACGUACCUUGACACUUAAUGUCUAUCAUGUUGGAGAUGAAUCUGUUAACAGAUUUGUUUCGCGUGUGCCACUGUCAGAUUAUUUCUCUGACAUGGUCAAACAUUUUCAGAAGCAAUGCAUCGACUUGGAUAAGUUGGUCGUGCGUUCUGCACGGAAUGCAGAACCUGUGCUAAUGGCCUCCAUUGAAGAUGCAAUUGUGCAAAUUGAAGAUGCCCUGUAUUAUUUCAGUGAUGUUAUGUCUUCUGGCAUCCCUGAUCUAGGAAAUUUUAUCACUGAAAAUAUUCUGCAACUUUUGGUAUUCCGGAUUGUACUCCCAUCAUUGCAAAGGCAGCGCACUGAUUUAUGGAUAAGUGUGAGUACUUCCAUGUAUUUGCUUUGCUGCAUACUUCACAUUUUUAAGGACAAAGAUAUGGCAAGCACUGUUGCUGCUGCUCUUUUCCAUCAGCCUGAUUGCCCUGAUAGGAAACAAGGAACACCUAAUGGUUGUACCUCUGAGCAUGAUCAUGGCAUAUCUGAGAACCAGGUCAGCAACACCUCUGCGGAAGAUCAAUCGAAAGCAGACAAGCCAACGUCUUCGUCUUCUGCACAUUUGCAGUGUUUGCCUGAUCAUCCAUCAGCAAGUGAUUUCUGCCAAGGCAACACACUGAGGGAACACUUGCUAUCAUAUAUCACAGGUGGGGAUGGUUCCCAAGCUUUGGGUUCUUUGUGCUUAUUUGCUACAUUAUUGCAGACAAAAGAACUUGAUGAAUCAAUGUUAGAUGCACUUGGAAUUUUGCCUCAAAGAAAGCAGCAUAAGAAGCUUCUAUUACAAGCUUUGGUUGGUGAAGAUACAGCUGAAAGGCAGCUAUUUUCAUCAAGUAGUGGUGUUGCAGAUGAUAGCAUCUGCAGUGAUUUUGAUAUUUAUAUAAGGAAGCUUCAGAGUAAUUAUGGGUUACAGUGUCAUCAUCCACGUCAAUUGACUUCUAAAGUUCACAGAUAUCAGGUGCUCGAUGCAUUAGUCACCCUUUUCAGCAGGGCUAAUAUACCAGCAGAUGUUCGCGUAGUUGGUGGCUGGCUUUUUAGGCAACUGCUGCCCCAUGGAGAGGACGAGUUUACUGCUUUUCAUCUAAAAUUACUAAAGGAUUCACACAAGGAUUGCAGUGAAAAGCUGCUGGAAGAAUCUGGAGGAUGCUGGUGUGACUUGCUUCUUCCUAUCGUUAGAGAAGCUUGGAAAAAUUGCAAGAAAGCAAUUGAGGCAUCUUCACCACCCAAAGGAUCCAAGUCUAUUAUUUCACCUUUGGAGCCGUCUUUAUUUGGAGGUGAUUCUUCUAUCGCUAUCGCGGAGAGAAUCUAUGAGAUGGUUAAGGGUUUUGUGCUACAGCAUCAAGUUAUACUCUUCUGCCUUGGAGAAACUUUCACUGAUCAGCUGCCUAUUUACUCUCCAGUCGAUCUGCCUGUAAAUAAGCGAGCAACUGCAGCAGGCUUCGAUGGUUCAGUGCCCAAGCCUGGGCUUGAAGUCAACUUAGUUGAUGCAAUUCCUUGCCGGAUAGCAUUUGAAAGGGGCAAAGAACGUCACUUCAGCUUUUUAGCUCUAUCUAAUGGAACUUCUGGGUGGAUUCUCCUUUUAGAAGAAUUACCACAACAACGUGGAAUUGUUCGUGUCACUGCCCCCUUGGCUGGAUCUGAUCCAAGAAUAGAUGAAAAGCAUGUGAAGUGGUUGCAUUUAAAUAUUCGUCCUUCAACUGUUCCUUUUCUUGAUCCGGAAAAAUUCAAAGGCAAGACAAAGAAGUAUCUUGUUGAUGGGAGAUGGACCCUUGCCUUCAGAGAUGAGCAAUCUUGCAAGGCAGCAGAGGCCAUGGUUAUUGAAGAGAUGAAGCUCCAGCAAGAUGCCGUCAGGGAACAGUUGAAGGAAUUGCUUGAACUUAACAUGCCUGAGAAUGGAUUGCAGCAUCCUCAGCUUUCCCAGGAAACCUCUUCUGAUGACGGUUCAUGA
Molecule: ribosomal RNA, 2715 nt
Filed under: Triticum aestivum (bread wheat)
Lineage: Eukaryota; Viridiplantae; Streptophyta; Magnoliopsida; Poales; Poaceae
Description: partial small subunit ribosomal RNA
Source: RNAcentral